AUAGAUGGAGAGAAACAAUCCUAUGGAGGUUGUGGAGGCAGAGAUGCCACAUAUGUCAAGUUAAAAUCUUCUGACAGUCAUAAUUUUAUUGUAAAAAGAGAAUAUGCCCUAACAUCAGGAACAAUAACACCCAUGUUGAGCGACCCAGUUCAGUGGUGGAAAAUGAAGCCAUCGAAGUGAAUUUUAGAACAAUCCCUUCACAUGUGCUAUUAAAUGUACUUAUUCCAUCUACAAGGUUUUCUAUACUAACAGCUCUACUGAGAAUGCCAAAUUCCCAAUUGCACCUAAAAUUACAUUGAAAUUGCUGAUGGCUGUGAACUCCCUAGAAUGUU
Molecule: long non-coding RNA, 332 nt
Filed under: Homo sapiens (human)
Lineage: Eukaryota; Metazoa; Chordata; Mammalia; Primates; Hominidae
Description: non-protein coding lnc-SLAIN1-10:1
Source: RNAcentral